This 119-nucleotide ribosomal RNA is filed under the name Amphiprion percula (orange clownfish). Lineage: Eukaryota; Metazoa; Chordata; Actinopteri; Pomacentridae. The record is from RNAcentral.
GUUUACGGCCAUACCAGCCUGAAUACGCCGGAUCUUGUCUGAUCUCGGAAGCUAAGCAGGGUCGGGCCUGGUUAGUACUUGGAUGGGAGACCGCCUGGGAAUACCAGGUGCUGUAAGCU